GACAUGAAGUUAGGUCAGCAAACCCSCUGAAUUUAAGCAUAUAAGUAAGCGGAGGAAAAGAAACUAAAUAGGAUUCCCUCAGUAAUGGCGAAUGAACAGGGAUGAGCUCAGCAUGGAAAUUGGGGCCUGUGGCCUUGAAUUGUAGUCUGGAGAUGUACCACCAACUGGGGCGCAGAUGUAAGCCUCUUGGAAAAGAGCAUCAAUGAGGGUGAGAGUCCCGCUUGGCAUCUGCAGUCCCCAGUGCACGGUGUACCUUCUAAGAGUCACGUUCCUCGGGAUUGGAGCGCAAAUCGGGUGGUAAGUUUCAUCUAAAGCUAAAUAUUGUUUCGAGACCGAUAGCAAACAAGUACCAUGAGGGAAAGGUGAAAAGGACUUUGAAAAGAGAGUUAAAAGUGCCUGAAAUUGCUGAAAGGGAAGCGAAUGGAAUCAGCGUAACUUGGUGAGAUUGCUGCGUGUCAAUGUGAUUGCUUGCUGCUUCAACGUAAGUGUGGUAGUAAGUCUUGAGCAGGACAUGCGCGGUGCUUCUUGCCUUGUGUGUCACCGUCAGUUCGCAGCUGGGGAAAACUUCAAAGACAUGGUAGCCUGUCUCCGGGCGGGUGAAUGUGUUUGCUGGAACUCAUGUGUGGAUUGCUUGGUGACUAAAUGGUUCCAUCUGACCCGUCUUGA
This 666-nucleotide ribosomal RNA is filed under the name Scrippsiella cf. erinaceus. Its description in RNAcentral is "LSU rRNA". It matches the Rfam family "Eukaryotic large subunit ribosomal RNA", at positions 1 to 657 of the family's 3401-position model. The record is from RNAcentral. Lineage: Eukaryota; Dinophyceae; Peridiniales; Peridiniaceae.